CGAACGCUGGCGGCGUGCCUAACACAUGCAAGUCGAACGAGAAAGCGGGCUUCGGCCCGUGAGUAGAGUGGCAUACGGGUGAGUAACACGUGGGCAAUCUGCCCGGAGGUGGGGGAUAACUCUCGGAAACGGGGGCUAAUACCGCAUGAUAUCUCGAGGACUCCGGUCCUUGCGAUCAAAGCUAGCCUCUUCUUGAAAGCUAGCGCCAUCGGAGGAGCUCGCGGCCCAUUAGCUUGUUGGUGAGGUAACGGCUCACCAAGGCUACGAUGGGUAGCCGGCCUGAGAGGGCGAUCGGCCACACUGGAACUGAGACACGGUCCAGACUCCUACGGGAGGCAGCAGUGAGGAAUAUUGCGCAAUGGGCGAAAGCCUGACGCAGCGACGCCGCGUGGAGGACGAAGGCCUUCGGGUCGUAAACUCCUGUCAAGGGGGACGAACGUCGUGGGGAUGAAUAAGCCUCACGUUUGACGGUACCUCUGGAGGAAGCCCCGGCUAACUCC
RNAcentral lists this ribosomal RNA (500 nucleotides) under uncultured bacterium. Its description in RNAcentral is "bacterial SSU rRNA". It matches the Rfam family "Bacterial small subunit ribosomal RNA", at positions 30 to 504 of the family's 1533-position model. The record is from RNAcentral.